AAACUAUUAGCCAGCAAUACAAAUAAAAAAGCAACGCAAGAUAAAGAAUAAAAUCAGAGAAUAUAUUAUAGAGUGAUUUUAUUCAUUCCAAUUGUGUGUGUACAAAACAAAAAGAUGAGUUCUCCUUUUAUAGUUACACAAUCACUCCAUGAAAUUAAUGAAAAAUUAUGGAUCAUAAUUCCUUGUGAGAUAGUGGGAGUUAUAAGAAAGCUAAAUGUUGCUAAUAAGAGAUAGUGGGGAGACUAAGAGAUAUAUGUUAUGAACAUCUACAUUUAUUUUAAUAAAUUCAUAACACUCCCCCUUGAAUGUUCAUUACAAAGAAUAUGCCUCAUUAAAAUAUUUACAUAAUUGUUAUUGUGUAAUAAUAAUCAACUUAAUUACGAGAAGAUGACAAGCCAAAUCUAAAAGAAAAUUUCUCUAUUUAUUAGAUAAUAGAGAAUAUACAAAGAUGAGAAAUGGUGAUGCCACAUUACCUUCCCAAGUCUUAGCUUUAUAUAUAUACUAGAAAAUAAAACCAUAUUUCACGCGGCUUUGAAAAAAGAAUUUAGUAUUAUUCUCUUUUUUUUACUUUAUACUUGAUGAAACUGAUAAAAAAUAUGAAUUGAUUUUUUUUAAAAUGAGGCAGCCUUAUAAAAAACAAAAAAAAGCCAUUAGCCAGCAAUACAAAUAAAGAAGUAACAUAAGAUAAAGAAUAAAAUGAGAGAAUAUAUUAUAGAGUGAUUUUAUUCAUUCCAAAUGUGUGUUGAUAGAAGAAAAAGAUAAGCUCUUCUUUUAUAGUUACAUAAUCACUCCAUGAAAUUAAUAAAAAAUUAUGGAUCAUAAUUCCUUGUGAGAUAGUGGGAGUUAUAGGGAAGCUAAAGGUUGCUAAUGGGAGAUAGUGGGGAGACUAAG
RNAcentral lists this long non-coding RNA (891 nucleotides) under Citrus x clementina. Its description in RNAcentral is "Citrus clementina (C. clementina) long non-coding RNA (CCLE_LNC005383)". Lineage: Eukaryota; Viridiplantae; Streptophyta; Magnoliopsida; Sapindales; Rutaceae. The record is from RNAcentral.